AUAUAAAUAAAAUGCAUAGAAGACAUGACAUAAAAACAUUAGUAACAUAUUACCAAUGUUAUUUCAACUGAUCGGGCGGAGCUUUCGCUUCAAUUUGCAUAAGGACAGUCUAUUCGAAUUUGUGUGUGAUAAGGAUGAUUGCCGUUAUAUGUAUUAGAACUGAUUUCUGAUCUCCUAUUAGUGUCACCAAACAGAUUCACAAAAGAACUGAGUAUACUAUAUGGGAAGAAUAAAAUAGUUUAAGACUUAUAGCAUUGAUAUAUGCUGAAAAAGAUUAUUUCAAUUUAUCGGCUAUUUUAUUAUUCUGCUUAAAACUUGAUUUCUUUCCCCUUAAAUAUGAUUAAAUUCUUUUUGCUAUUCUCCGUGUAACCCCCCCCCCCACACACACACACACACACACACACAAACACACAAAAAAAACACCAAAAAACAGUCAUAAUAUAAAAAUCGAAAAAAGGUUUUUCAAAGCGUUAUAGAAUAACAACAUAUGCAUAUUUUACAACUGAUAUUGUCAUAGUUUUAC
RNAcentral lists this long non-coding RNA (523 nucleotides) under Mytilus galloprovincialis (Mediterranean mussel). Lineage: Eukaryota; Metazoa; Mollusca; Bivalvia; Mytilida; Mytilidae. The record is from RNAcentral.